Molecule: long non-coding RNA, 2527 nt
Organism: Gymnogyps californianus (California condor)
Lineage: Eukaryota; Metazoa; Chordata; Aves; Accipitriformes; Cathartidae
Exons: 3
Source: RefSeq, a predicted model, not a curated record
GCACGCUCUCUGAAUGAGUGGCUGUGGCAGCAUGAGUUCUGGCUGCCCCCAGGAAUCACCUGGCAGGACAUGCAAGAGUCUGAAGACGUCCAUUACCCUCAGCCUCGUGGUCUCCUGCUCAGUAUCCUUUUGCUUUAAUCCUGGUUGUCAUUCGAUGUGCCUUUGAAAGUCGUUACUGUUCCAUGUUCAGUUCAUCCUGGAGAAGAAAGCUUCCCCUAGCGAAUGGGAGGUAGGAAUCAAGUCCUCCAUUGCUCCGUUGCCUUGUAUGUACAGUGGCGCUAGCCCUGUUUAAAAUAAUUUGCACAAAGUUUGAGAAUUGCAGACUGAAAGGAUGCAUGUGUUAUUUCUCAUUCUCCAUGUAGAUGGCCUUGACUUUGUAGCUUUGUACAUCUGGUCUGUGGGUCAAAAUGCAUGUACGUAACUAGUAUACAGGUUUGGGUUUGGUGGUUUUAGCUUGGCCCCUGGCAAUUUAUUCUGCCCUCACCUAUUACUUGCAACUGUGCAUUGGGUGCAUUGGGUGCAAAGCAUUUUUUUCUCUAGAUAAUGCUCUGUGUUCCUGGUGCUGCCUGCUCUGGGAUUUCAGAGGUAUGUUCGUGUCAUUUAUCUGUGUCAGAACUCCGGGAAAAUACUAAGAGGCAGAAGAAGCCCAGAGGAUUUUCUGCAAUCCCUCAUUCAGCAGCUGCAUCAGCCACCGUGUUUGGCCACUGGUUCCCUCUUCUUGGUUUGGAGAUUAAACCUGGGAAAGACCCCGCUUCCUCGAGCAUGGAUUUUCCUCUCCUUGGCACCUGCUGGCUGAACUGGGAAAAACUGAGACAGCGACAUCCUUUUAACCACCAGUUAUUCCGUGGAUUAGGCGGUGGCUGUGGGAAGAGGACGUGCGGUAGCUGGGUGGGGCCUGGGAGAGUGGAGGAGGUUGUGGGUGCAGCCCUGGGGGAGAAGAAACAGCUCACGCUUCGGUGAAGCAACUCUUCUGUGAGCCAGCUAGGACUACCCCUUGGGACUGGAACCCCAGCCCCCUGCUCACACAUCCUUGGGUGAGCUGCUCAGUUUAGCCAAGCGGUGCGACCUGCCGGUGAGGAAGGUGGAGAGUUGGUUCCGGCGCCGGAGGAACACAGACCGACCUAGCCUGUCGAAGAAGUUUUGCGAGGCCUGGUGAGCGGGAGCACAAGCCAUGAGCAGCAGGGGCCUUUCACCGGAGCUGAGCUCCGCAGGCAGCUCGCUGCCUCCCAGCCUGCCCUCCACCCCAUGCAGAGAGCAUCCCACCUCCCCUGCCUCCCAACCUGCCCUCCACCCCAUGCAGAGAGCAUCCCACCUCCCCUGCCUCCCAACCUGCCCUGUACCCCUACACAGAGAGCAUCCUGGGUCUUCCUUGCCCCACCUGGUUCUUCUGCAACUCUGCUGCUUCUCUGUUACUGAAACAUGCCUUGCUUUCCCCCUUUAUUUUCACUCCCAAGUCACCUUUUACUCCUGUCUCACCUUUAUUCCUUAUAGGGCUUCUGUUUCUGACUUUGUAAGACUGGCAUUCUGCUUUGAAACAUAAUUGUACCUGAACAACUCCCUCCUGUUUUGCAUCUUACUGCUUCUUGCUGCUUUUCAAAACUCCCAGGCAGCGGGCUAGAUUGUAUUCUGCUCUCAGUUGACUUCAGCGUCCUGAAAGUCAAAAACCAGCACCCUUUUAUAGUGGCAGAAAAAGGGGCCUGUGUGAAAGCUUGUGUUUUGCAAAGAGCAAAACUCUUUUUGGAAACAGCUGUGUGGAAAUCCUCUCUAUUAUGUGGAGGCACAAAAUAAAUCUCACAUCAGCCAGUUCUGUGAAUGUUAGUCCUGGCUUAAGCUUUCCACAGUAAAGGAGGAUUCUCCUGAGCUUGGUUGACAUGUCUUACUUAUGAGUGGCUGCUCUGCUAUUCGUGUAAGGACGUAGGUUCUCCCAGGAAAGCCACGGAUAUGAAAGAAAUCAUUAAAUACCUGCAGUGCUAUUCAUCUGUCUAAAAGUGUGUCUCCAUAGGGUAGGCAUGAACUCUGAGCGAAUCACCUUGUGCUCCGUUUGACACUCAACCUCUAAUUCAACCCCUGCCCAAAACCCCUAAUUGAAAAAGAAAAAAGAAAAAAAAACCCUGAUGUGUAUUAUUUAUUUAUAAUAUUCCAGAUAGUUGCAGUUAGAAAUAUUUACAAAAUCUGUGGACAAGGGAGUUGUAAAGCAACCAUGCUUAAUCUGCUUCCCUCAAGAUGAAAUCUGAGUUCUCCCUGCACUCAGCUGAGUCGCAGUAAAUAGUAACAGUAAAUAGUAAACAGUAAAUUUCUUUUCCGACUCAGCUCACCUAGGAUGGUGUCCUUCCACCCGCCCUCUAUCACCAUGUGCAGUCUGUAGAAAGAAUGUCUUUCCGAUGUGUUGUAGCAGCAUUGUACAGUUUCUGUCUGUCUUGGAGCUCCGGGGGGUUUCACUGACAGGUGGAGUCUCCCUCUCUCUCAAAAUGUGGUUACUUCUGAUUUGUUCUGGAGAUUUUUGGAAAUUAAAGGACCGGUUUAGACA